This 497-nucleotide ribosomal RNA is filed under the name uncultured bacterium. RNAcentral's name for it is "partial 16S ribosomal RNA". It matches the Rfam family "Bacterial small subunit ribosomal RNA", at positions 28 to 507 of the family's 1533-position model. The record is from RNAcentral.
GACGAACGCUGGCGGCGUGCCUAAUACAUGCAAGUUGAGCGCUGAAGGUUGGUACUUGUACCAACUGGAUGAGCAGCGAACGGGUGAGUAACGCGUGGGGAAUCUGCCUUUGAGCGGGGGACAACAUUUGGAAACGAAUGCUAAUACCGCAUAAAAACUUUAAACACAAGUUUUAAGUUUGAAAGAUGCAAUUGCACCACUCAAUGAUGAUCCCGCGUUGUAUUAGCUAGUUGGUGAGGUAAAGGCUCACCAAGGCGAUGAUACAUAGCCGACCUGAGAGGGGGAUCGGCCACAUUGGGACUGAGACACGGCCCAAACUCCUACGGGAGGCAGCAGUAGGGAAUCUUCGGCAAUGGACGAAAGGCUGACCGAGGAACGCCGCGUGAGUGAAUAAGGGUUUCGGAUCGGAAAACUCUGUUGGUAGAGAAGAACGUUGGUGAGAGUGGAAAGCUCAUCAAGUGACGGUAACUACCCAGAAAGGGACGGCUAACUACGUG